Suricata suricatta (meerkat) is the source of this 1101-nucleotide long non-coding RNA. RefSeq lists it as uncharacterized. The record is from RefSeq and is a predicted model, not a curated record. Lineage: Eukaryota; Metazoa; Chordata; Mammalia; Carnivora; Herpestidae. The transcript has 2 exons.
UCUGCGCGCCGCGCCGUCUCCACCGAGUAGGGGUCGAGGACCAGGGGCCAGAGGUCUGGGCAGGCGGCCAGUCAGCAGCUCCUGCCGGGUCCCUGGGGAGGUGGAGCGACAGGGGGUGCGGCUGAGAGGACGGAGUGAACGACCCGCCCUGGAGCCUGCCCGGUCACCGCGCCAGAGCCCGGGCCUCACCUGGAAGUGCUCCUGGAAGCGGAUGGGAAGGAUCUGCGCCAUGGCGGGCACGGUGCCGAGGCGACGGCGAAGACAAGCGAUGGUGGCGGUCGCGGCAACCUCCCUCACUUGCUGAGACGGGCGGCGGCGGCAGCAGCGGCGGCGGCCGCGCAGGCGCAUUGCCCCGGUCCGCGUCCCGCACGCGCUCACAGCCGCAUGGCCCCUGCACGGGAUCACUCCGCCCGCCGCCUGAGGGUCCGCGAAAAGUAGUUCCGCGCGUACCCGCACUUCCGGCACCCCGGAGCACAGAUGUCCCAAAAACACAGCGAAAGGAAUCUCAGAAGUAUGUGUGCCUCGCUUCUGCAGGGAAUCUUUCCUGGCUCAUGCAAGUUCUAGACAGUGCUAUAUGAGAAUAUCAGUGCGGAGAGCCUGCAAAGAUCACAUCUAGCAGCAGAUGAUCAAUCGCAGGCCACUGAGGAUCGGCUGGAUUGUCUGUGGUCAUGCAACAGAAGUAGCAGUUCCAGAACUAGAGCCCACACCUGCUUUGCCCAGCGGUCAGUUGUUUUCUGAGGCACCAUUUGACGAUGUGUUUUGCAUGCAGAUGGCUCAGCUGCAUAAAAGAGGUUUGUCAGGAAAGGGAAGCCUUUGGCAUUCUGUAUACGCAUUCCUACCGUGUAAUCGAUACCCUGUAUGCUUCAUGUUGCUCACUGGUAAUUUUAAGAAAUUAAUAGUCCACCGUGAAUAACAGUCAUUGUGCAAUUAUUUGCACAAUGGCUUUAUAAUCUAGUAUCAUCCAAAAAUACGUUAAAGAAGAAAACAGACUGCUCACUUUCAAAUUAAAUCUCUUUUCCAGUAUCAGCCAAAACCUUUGCAGAUUGCCUUUUCAACACCUGUGUAGCCUUAUCAUCUAAUAAUACAGCUUUUGCUACUGGU